Danio aesculapii is the source of this 693-nucleotide long non-coding RNA. RefSeq lists it as uncharacterized. Lineage: Eukaryota; Metazoa; Chordata; Actinopteri; Cypriniformes; Danionidae. The transcript is spliced from 4 exons. The record is from RefSeq and is a predicted model, not a curated record.
UCAGAAGCUGGAGUUUCUGCAACAGAUCCUGAUGUCCAUUCGCAGAACUGACCUCCUCAACAAGAUCAGACGUUUCCAGCAGACCUCAAAAACGACCAAACAAGGCUCUGCUGACAGACCUCAGACCUGCGCAAAACCACAGGAGCAGGUGUACAGUGUUCACAGAGAGCCCAGAGGAGUGUGCUUAAUCCUGGACUGCAUCGGCACUGAGGCAGACGGGCUGAUCUGCUAGAUAUGCACACCGCGGUAAACCGUGCAGCAAACCAACACAACCGUCAGUCUGCAGGAUCUCAGGACUCUCUACACCUGAGGAAAAAACUCUUCAUCCACACAGACUCCGCUUUACCCGCAGAUUACCCUGUUUUACAGCAUUAACACUGCAGUGAUUAUUUUCACCUCUCACACACCUGAAACCGGAUCAGAGAAACUGUUUAACAUUUCAAAACAUUGCACAUCAUUAUUACUGAUAUUAAUAUGAUCAGUUCUUCGUUAAUAGAGUUAUUAUCUAUUUUCUGGAUUAGCCAUGCUCAGAUCAAAUGUUUUAUAUACAGUUAAAGUCAGAAUUAUUAGCCCGUCUGUAUAUUUUCCUCCAAUUUCUGAUUAACAAAGAGAAGAUUUUUCUUCAGCACAUUUCUAAACAUAAUAGUUUAAUAACUCAUCUCUAAUAACUGAUGUCUUUUCUCUUUGUCAUGA